GAGAAAACUGUGCAUCUUAUAUACUGCAUGACUUUAUCAGAUGACAAUCCCAAUACUAAAAUAAGGCUUACGCAUAGUUAUAUACUUUAAUUCAGUCACAGACCCAAGAUAUCACGGGUGUGUUCUAGUGUGUACUAAGUUUCAAAUUGACUGGACUUCAACUUCAUCAAAAACUACCUCGACCAAAAACUUUAACCUGAAUGGAACAGAGAGAUGAAUGGACGGACGGACGAACGGACGCACAGACCAGAAAACAUAAUGCCCAUAAAUGGGGCCUAAAAAGUGAAUUUUGGAAAUUGCUGGCAAGAC
This 309-nucleotide long non-coding RNA is filed under the name Mytilus galloprovincialis (Mediterranean mussel). The record is from RNAcentral. Lineage: Eukaryota; Metazoa; Mollusca; Bivalvia; Mytilida; Mytilidae.